UACGGAGGGGGCUAGCGUUAUUCGGAAUUACGGGGCGUAAAGCGCACGUAGGCGGCUUUGUAAGUCAGAGGUGAAAGCCUGGAGCUCAACUCCAGAACUGCCUUUGAGACUGCAUCGCUUGAAUCCAGGAGAGGUGAGUGGAAUUCCGAGUGUAGAGGUGAAAUUCGUAGAUAUUCGGAAGAACACCAGUGGCGAAGGCGGCUCACUGGACUGGUAUUGACGCUGAGGUGCGAAAGCGUGGGGAGCAAACAGG
This 253-nucleotide ribosomal RNA is filed under the name uncultured bacterium. Its description in RNAcentral is "partial 16S ribosomal RNA". It matches the Rfam family "Bacterial small subunit ribosomal RNA", at positions 524 to 776 of the family's 1533-position model. The record is from RNAcentral.